RNAcentral lists this ribosomal RNA (548 nucleotides) under uncultured euryarchaeote. RNAcentral describes it as "bacterial SSU rRNA". It matches the Rfam family "Archaeal small subunit ribosomal RNA", at positions 111 to 659 of the family's 1478-position model. The record is from RNAcentral. Lineage: Archaea; Methanobacteriati; Methanobacteriota.
GCCCUUAUGGUGGAGGGAUAAUCUCUGGGAAACUGAGAAUAAUACUCCAUAGAUCUGGGAUGCUGGAAUGCACUCAGAUUGAAAGCUCUGGCGCCUAAGGAUGAGUCUGCGGACUAUCAGGUAGUAGUCAGGGUAAAGACCUGACUAGCCUAUGACGGAUACGGGUUGUGAGAGCAAUAACCCGGAGACGAUAUCUGAGACACGAUAUCGGGCCCUACGGGGUGCAGCAGGCGCGAAAACUUCACACUGUGCGAAAGCACGAUGAGGGGAUCCCAAGUGCUUGCUCGUAAGAGUAAGCUGUUUUUUUGUCUAAAACACAAAGAGAGUAAGGGCUGGGUAAGACGGGUGCCAGCCGCCGCGGUAAUACCUGCAGCUCAAGUGGUGACCACUAUUAUUGGGCCUAAAACGUCCGUAGCCGGUUUAAUAAAUGCCUGGGUAAAUCGUGUAGCUUAACUAUACGAAUUCUGGGUAGCUGUUAAACUUGANACCNGGAGAGGCUAGAGGUACUCCUGGGGUAGAGGUGAAAUNCUGUAAUCCUAGGGGGACAC